This 448-nucleotide long non-coding RNA is filed under the name Chelydra serpentina (North American snapping turtle). RNAcentral's name for it is "lncRNA (ENSCSRG00000018067.1)". The record is from RNAcentral. Lineage: Eukaryota; Metazoa; Chordata; Testudines; Chelydridae.
AUAUUUUUUUAUUUAAAAACCAAAAUUGGUUUCUUUUGUUCCAGCCAAAGAAGACUGUAGAAAGGAAGUCCCGUGGCAAGAUAAAAUGAACAUGGACCAGUAAAACAGAACCAGUGGAGUAGAAUAUCUGAUGGAUUUACCUUGCACAUAAGGACUGUCCUACCGAGAUCAGUGAGGUGUACCACUCAUGGCCUGCUUUUUUCAGAAUCUUCUCCCAUUUGCCUUCAGACUGUGGUUUUUGUUUUGUUUGGGGCUUUUUGUUUUGUUUGGUUGUUUUUUUGUUUUUUUGUGAGCACACUUAAACCUGUAACAAUAAAAGCACUUUUCUGAUAUGGUGAACACUUUCACUGAUGAUGAUGUAGUACUGUGUUACAUUUAUACAACUGUUUCUACAGUUUAAACUGAAAUUAAAGCAAAAUCUGGCCUAUGUUGAAACUGCUAUUCUGUC